Molecule: ribosomal RNA, 468 nt
Filed under: uncultured bacterium
Lineage: Bacteria
Description: partial 16S ribosomal RNA
Rfam family: Bacterial small subunit ribosomal RNA
Source: RNAcentral
GACGAACGCUGGCGGCGUGCUUAACACAUGCAAGUCGAACGGAAAGGCCCUGCUUUUGUGGGGUGCUCGAGUGGCGAACGGGUGAGUAACACGUGAGUAACCUGCCCUUGACUUUGGGAUAACUUCAGGAAACUGGGGCUAAUACCGGAUAGGAGCUCCUGCUGCAUGGUGGGGGUUGGAAAGUUUCGGCGGUUGGGGAUGGACUCGCGGCUUAUCAGCUUGUUGGUGGGGUAGUGGCUUACCAAGGCUUUGACGGGUAGCCGGCCUGAGAGGGUGACCGGCCACAUUGGGACUGAGAUACGGCCCAGACUCCUAUGGGAGGCAGCAGUGGGGAAUAUUGCACAAUGGGCGGAAGCCUGAUGCAGCAACGCCGCGUGCGGGAUGAAGGCCUUCGGGUUGUAAACCGCUUUCGCCUGUGACGAAGCGUGAGUGACGGUAAUGGGUAAAGAAGCACCGGCUAACUACGUG